AAGGAGUCUGGGAAGGAUGUCUGACCAGGGAUGAAGGCUCUUAUGCAAAGCGUUAUGGGGGCUUUGCAAAGAAGAAGGAGGGAGAGGCACAUGAUGUGUCUUCCCAUAUUAAACGAAGACCCUCUGUAAAGAGGAAGACUGUUCGCCUUGCCAGUAACCAGCACCAGGUGGCUCAUAUAGCACCUGCCUUCAGGGAAGCUCAACAUUAUCAACAUCAUCAACAACAACAUCAACAAUAUCAACAACAACAUCAUCGUCCAUAAUAGCAGGCCUAUCAGCCUCAAAAC
This 287-nucleotide long non-coding RNA is filed under the name Lathyrus oleraceus (garden pea). RNAcentral's name for it is "Pisum sativum (pea) long non-coding RNA (PSAT_LNC026625)". The record is from RNAcentral. Lineage: Eukaryota; Viridiplantae; Streptophyta; Magnoliopsida; Fabales; Fabaceae.